CAGUAUUAUCUCAGCUGAUAACACUACACCAUUCAUAUGGCAGAGAAAUAGGGAAACAAAACUCAUUCCAGCCCUUUCGUUCUGGCAUUCUCUCUGCAAAAGGCAAAGGGCCCCCCUCGCGAUGAAUAGAGCUGGGGUAGAAAUACAAUCCUGUACUAUUGCUAAAAGCCAGAAGAGCUGACUCUUUUAUUCCAAGGGGAAGUUUGGGGGUGUUCUUACCCUUGGUCCUAUGUAUACUCUCAUGAGUGAUAGAUCAGGAUGAAGACUUUCAGAUAUGGAGUCUUGCUCUGUUGUCAGGCUGGAGUACAGUGGCAUGAUCUUGGCUCGCGGCAACCUCCACCUCUCAGUUCAAGCAAUUCUCCUGUCUCAGCCUCCGGAGUAGCCAGGAUUACAGGUCCUAAGAAUGGAAUUCAGGAGUGGACAAGACAUAACUUUUGCCAUGAAGCAUCUCAUCACACAAUGGAGUCUUGCUCUGCCACCCAGGCUAGAAUGCAGUGUCACAAUCUUGUCUCUGUGCAAACUCCGCCUCCUGUGUUCAAGGGAGUCUCCUGCCUCAGCCUCUGGAGUAGCUGGGAUUACAGGGCUUGUCAAAAUCCUACUCUUUUACUCACCUUACCAACACUCGGAGGCAUGACUUAUGUCUGAAACAAAACUACAAGAGCCAGUGUUUAUACACAAAAAUCUUGGAAUACUCUUGUUUUCAUUUCUUCUGUUGCAGCUUUUCUGGGAGCACCACUGUCUUCCAAAAACAAAUAAAAUGACUAAGAUUACAUUAAUUUGCAUUUCAUUACAUAAUCUGUUGAGAAAAUGGAAC
RNAcentral lists this long non-coding RNA (814 nucleotides) under Callithrix jacchus (white-tufted-ear marmoset). Its description in RNAcentral is "lncRNA (ENSCJAG00000064934.2)". Lineage: Eukaryota; Metazoa; Chordata; Mammalia; Primates; Cebidae. The record is from RNAcentral.